GCUCCCACAGCAUAUGGAGGUUCCCAGGCUAAGGGUCUAGUCGGAGCUGUAGCCGCUGGCCUACACCACAGCCACAGCAACGCGGGAUCCGAGCCAUGUCUGCAACCUACACCACAGCUCACGGCAACGCCGGAUCCUCAACCCACUGAGCAAGGCCAGGGAUCGAACCUGCAACCUCAUGGUUCCUAGUCAGAUUUGUUAACCACUGUGCCAUGACGGGAACUCGUAUUUUUUUCUAAUCAGAUGCUUCCUUGGUCUCUUCAGGUCUGAAAGAUUAUCUAAAAUCUAAAGAAAAAAUAAUAAGUACAUUUUUAGGAAAGACUUUUAUUAUUACUCUGUCUGUGAUGUGUGUCUUCUGUUGAAUAGAGAUUAGCAUCAUGGCUUGUAGCAACUUUCACUUUUACACACAAUUUUAUAUUUGUGAUAUUAUCCACAACCUAAUAAACUUCCUGAAAGGAAGAUGUGGCUUUACAUUCUUUUGAAUCCCCCUCAGAGCUGAUAAAAGCCUGGACUGUGAGAUGUCCUAGAGGGCAUGAAUAAUUAAGGGCAAGGUCACCCCGACAUUUAGAAGAAUGCCAGGAACAUAGUAGGUGUUUAGUAAAUAUUGAUGGAGUUGAAUAUAUGUCUUAUGUAUAGUACACGCAUAAUAGAUAUUUAGCGAUUUAUUCUGAAAGGCGUCCUAGCUCUUUUGAAUAUACAAGCUGCUCAAUCGAUCACCGCAUGCUCAUCAGAUGUUGUAAAAUGAAAUAUGAGAUGAUCUAAAUAUCCUUGCAUUAAGGCAGAUAACUUGAUAAGUAUCAAAUGGGUCUUCAGUUUACUAAUUUUACCCGUGUCUAUACCACAGGCCUGACAAUAAAAACCUGUUGCUACAUUUUUAAAGUUUUCUUGUUUUUUAAUAAUGUACAAGUAAAACAUAUAUUCAAAAAUAUACACAUUAUCAUUGUUACUUGUGGUAUAAGCUACAGGUUUUUUGUUUUGUUGUGGUGGUGGUAGUUGUCGUCUGUUUUUUUAGGGCUGUACCCAUGGCAUACGGAAGUUCCCAGGCUAGGGGUCAAAUUAGAGCUGCAGCUGCUGGUCUACACCACAGCUCGCAAUGACAGAUGCUUAACCCACUGAGCGACGUCGGGGAUCCAACUUGCAUCCUCAUGGAUACUAGUCCUGUUCUUAACUCUCUGAGCCACAGCAGGAACUCCUAAGCUACACGUUUAAUGAGACUAGAAUGGAAGCCAGAUUUGGUUCUGUUUGAGGUUGUGAGAAAGAGCUUUAUACCCUGGAACUAGGACUUCUAAGGCUUAACCAGAUCUGUGUAUUGCCCCUGAAAUGUGAAUCUAAUUUCUGCUUUUAAAGUAUAUUAACUCAGAUACUAUCUUUGUUUUUUCACCAGUUAUGAGAAUUGUACCCCAACACAUGCUGGGAGAUUUAACUGCAUACAGUGACUGACAGUUACAUCAUCACAAAGACUGGAUGAGCCUGAAGCCCAAUGACAGAAAAGUUAUGAAGGAGUCCUGUCCUUUUCUCACGGAUUGGUAACCUAAAAGCCCAGAAAAAACAAUUAGAGCAUACGGAAUGUGCGGUAGAGGAGAAACUGCAGUCACAUCUUGAUAAAGAUGCACUAAUUUUUUUUCAACAGAAUACAAAAACCCACUGGAAACAAAAUACUUUAGAGAACUCAUUUAUAGGCUUAAAAUAAAAAAAAAGAAGAAGAAGAAGAAGAAAUGAAAGAAAAGGUCUUACUGCUUUGCCUCUGUUUUUCAUACUGACACCCAGUACACCCAUCCCUAGACGCCAGACUGAGGCUUGCUAACUGUGACACCCCAUCUGACUUUAUAAGGAGGCACAGCGCCCACACGCCAGCAGCGCCACUUCUGGCCAAGGUCCUUUCCCACCUUCAAAGAGAGAACAGGGUAGCAAAGAAUGGUAAUGAUGCUUAACCCGAGAGACUGCCUUUCUGCUUCUGUCUCCUUUCUCUCGUAAACUGAAUGAACUGUUGUUAUAAGACAACAUACUGCUAAGUUAAUGUAACUUAAAAAUUUACAGCAGGUUGUAUGCCUGGAGGCACAUUAUGGGGCCACCUGUAGGCAUCUAAUUCCACUGAAAAUUAUAAAUAAGUGCAGAGAAUUCCUCCGAGUCUGGAGGGGAGUGGAUAAGAACUGCGUUGCUGGUUUACUCCAACGUGGAUUCUGUCGUGGAGAUUAAAGGACAGUGCUCUCUCUCCAACAAAUGAGUAAUCCUUCUCCCCACAAAAGAGUCCGUUAAACGCAACCAGACACCUGGGUGCCAGAGCUGCACAGCCAUUUCUUGGGCACUUUUGAUAAUCCACCUGCAGAAACUGCCACUUGGCAAUUGCUUAAUAUAGCACAUGGAUCCAUUUGAGACUUUUUUUUUUCUUACAGUAUAGAAAGCUAUUUUGUUUGUCUCUCUACAUCCUGUUUAUCUUUUUGAAGCCUCCUCAUGUUUUGGCAAAGACAGAAAAUGACAGUAAGAAUAUCCUUGAUAAUGAUUCCAAGCAUUUAUUCAGGAGAAAUUAAUAUGUGUGUUUUAGCAAUGCUCAGCAACCUUGACCUUUUUCAACCUUGACCUUUUUCAACUGGGAGGUAAAAUUAAUAUACGGCAGAGCUGCUUUAAAGAAAAAGUGUUUGUUAUUAUGCUUUGGCCACAAGGUAGGUUCUAAAAGCUAACCUAAUCUUUGUCAUUUGGGUUAUAAAUAACCCAUAAACUAUAUUAAUGUAGCCCUUAGUCUUAGAGGCCCCACAGAUACUGUUUGGAUAUUGAAAUCUACGACAACCUUUUUCCACACCAACCGCAUGGCUUUGAACUAGGAAAACUCCAUGUAAAUUAUCAUUUACGUACUGAGGGUUGAAUUCUUGGUGGUUUUAAGGUCGCUAUUUCCUUCUGUUUGUACUACACGAAGGGUUAAUAAGGUUUGCAUAACCUUAUUCUUUGACGGCUUUACAGCAGAGUAUUACAGGACUGCUGCCAAAACAGAUUUUAACCCCUUUAAUCAUGCUGUUAGUAGCAGUAUUAUGCAGAGUCCAUUCUGCCCAAAUGCAAUAUAGUUCUGAAUACAGUUGGACCUGAUAGCCAAGCAAGGAAGGGUUCCUAGAGCUACUUGCCAUUUUAGUUGCUAUGGUGAGUUUCAUAUUUUAUGGAAACCACUGCUAGAUGUCUUAAAAUAGACCUUUGCCAAGAAAAACAUUGGUCCAGUGGCAUAUGCUGGCAGAGCAUUGCAAGGUUGCUCAAAUUCCCUUCCUUUGUUUUUCUCUCUCCCCCCUGGGGCAACUGCUCCAAGCAUCAGCCCACUAGUCUGGCAGGCUGAGAAUCCAGAAACUUGCUGCUAAUUAUAAUGUUGACAAUUCCCAACCUGUUUACUGGCGCCAGCAAUCAAAUCGCAUCCUCUCGAGUGAACCAAAAAGCACUUGCUGGCUUUAGCUUCCUGAGGUUCCAAGCUGGCUAUAUUAAUUACUGUUAACUUAAAACUGUAUGUUGUACAGAAGAAGCUUAAUUAGCUGGUUUGAGGAUUAAAAUCUAUCCUUUACAAAUUUUAAAGCCUUCUGUUCUUGACCAAAUUGUGUGAAUCCAUAAAACAUCUUUCCUUGGAUAAAAUGUUGCUUAUGUUAGGUAUGGCUUCUCAGAGGGAAUUUGGCCACACUAUUUAUGACCUUGAAUUAAGCACCAAAAUAGAUCAGGAGAAAAUCUCCUCCUCUCUCUCUUCUCAUCUCCCCUCCUCUUUCCCUUGCUCCUUCUCCUCCCUCCCCAUUUCAUCUCUUUAUCUUUCUAAGAGUAGUAUCUCUAUGUUGUUUUUGAAAAAACAAAAUAAGGAAGAUAAUGGGCGUAAUCAUUUCAAGUUACUGUUUAUGGUUAGUAAAAAAAGGAAAAUCUUUCAGUGGGGGAAAAAUGCUCAAAAUGUAUGUUUCUAGCUUGGUGAAUUUUAAAACCACAAUAAUGACUUACACUGUUUUUCAGGGGAACGCUCACUGCUGUGAAUGAGGUGGGAGUAGUCAUCUUUUAAAUACAAGAAGACUACUUUUUUGAUUGAUAAGUUGGGCGACUGCACGGUGAGAAAUCACCCUCUCAGGCUCCAAGAUGGUUCGCAUGGCAGGUAACCCAGGUGUGUCAGUGGCUGACCAUCAAUGCAGUUUUCAUAAUAGCACAACAACAGUGGACCUGGGUUUAGUAAAACUGAGGAUUUUAAUUUGACUCUGUUCUAAUCCAGGAGUCCUUCUGUCUUUCUUUAUUCAAGACAGCUUUAAAUAUUUAAAAGCUGAAGUAAAAGAGGGUAAAUACAAUUUUAAUUUGUAUAUUAAAAAUGUGAUUUGAUUUCUGUUCCUUGAUGUGUGAAAAUCAUGGAGUCAGUGUUCUUUGCUAAUCUUAUUUUUGAUUUUCCAUCGAAUAUACUACAUGACAAAUACUUGUCAUUCCAGUCUUUCAGCCAAUAUUUUCAUCUGGAAGCUUAUUAAAUUGAGUUGAUUUGAUUGAGAUUAAAAUUUUCCUUGUUUAACUGAAAUAACUUCAACUUGAGCAAAAGAUCAAACUGUUCCUUUAAUUACAAUUUUGGUUUGUUUCUACGUCAAUAUUAAUUUGCCCUAUAAAAUCUUCCUCAAUUUUGAGAAGUACCUAAGUAUAAGCAUACUAUAGGCCUUUAGAAUCUGUUUGCAAUCACAUCUGUGUAUACAAUGUUUGAGCUUGAAAACAGGUUAAAUCAGAUGAUUCACUGAUGUGAAAAUAAUAAUUAUUGUCACAUACAAGGAAGAGUAAAAUUAUAAGAAAAACUUCAAUAUUGAAGUUUUAGUGGGAUGUGGUUAGAAAAAAAAAAAAAUCCAGCAGACUUGGAAAAUGGGUUCCAAGUACUAUCUGCAUGUCCUGGGAAGUUAUUUAGAUUCUCUGUGUUGGGAGGGUCUCAUGUAUAAAAUAUGGAAGCAGGACCAUACACCAAAUGACUGGAUUUGAAAUCGAAAAUUAUCAUGACAACUAACUAUCCUAAGAAUUUGCAAUAGGAUGACCUAAGACUCAUGAAAUGUUGUAUUCUAUGUGGAUAAGGAACUGGAAAAUAAUUACAUCAAAAGAAAACCAGUGAUCAAGUGGGAAUGCUACAUCUGGAUACAAAAGCCAGUCCAGAAAAGAAGAAAUGUCUCAAUUUUCUAUAACUUUACUGUAGUUAGUUAACAAGUAGUCCUUCUCCCUAAACUCUAAAUCACAGUGAAUAAGAAAAACCAGAAUCUUAAACACAAGUGUCUGUAUGUUAUAUUGAGAACUGCUGCUAAUACAGUCUUAAACAAAUUCCCCUAAGUUACUUGAUUUCUAAAGCAAGGAUUCAAACAUAACAUAUGUCUUUCCCAAUAGAAAAAUGGAUUAAAAAGGUUUUUUAAAUCCAUGUUCCCCUUAGGCUUAAUUUUCCACAAGUCCGUCUUUUCAGACCGAUGAUCUUUCCUUUGACCUGCGAACGUCCAGAUUUCAUGCUUUUCUCAAUUUUCUACCGAUAAGUUAGGCCCAUUUUACUCAAACACGAUUUCCUUUUAAAUUGAUUCUAUACAAGUUCUACCUAGUUCUACACCAGAGCAUGGCUUUCUAUCUAAAUAAAAGCAAGAACUUUUGAGUACUAUAUAGAUACACUAUACAAAAGUGAUAUUGUCAACUUCCCCUCACCAUUGGGGAAAGAGCACCCUGUAAAGAAGAUCUCUUGUAAAGAUUCCUAAAACUGAUAUUUCUCAGUAUACCUCGGUAUUAGCAGUUAGAUCUUCCAAUAAAACAGCCCCAAGUAAUUUCGUUGUUCUUAAAUACAUCACCAAAAACUGCACCAUCCUCUCUACCAUCCACAUCUUGAUACUGGUACUUGCUGUCAUUGUCUCGUGUCAAAUUCAGUUGUUAUCUGCACAAAUCGCCGGCUCUAAAUGUGAAACUGUCUCAAAAAUUUAACAUCAACGCUGAUUUUUAAUGUGGCAGCCACAACUAACAAAAACCUGUUUUCUGGAGCAAAGAAUCCUCAUAUUACGACUCUGUCCUAAUAUAUAGUAUUAAACCAUCUCAACGCUGUUUGGACAACCACGCAACAGAAAGGAACUUGAGAUAUUUUAAUUAGCGUGUAAGUAAGGGGCUUCUGAACCUACACGAUCACCAGAAAUCUAUUUGAAAUCAAUUGCUUUAGAAAGCUUUAUAGAGCUUUUAUUAAACCUAUUCUCAAAGUUUUAAAUGGACAUGAUGUGUCAGAUCCAUCAUUAAACUGUGGAUGAAACAGUACGUAAAUUAUUUGGAUAAAACAAUAGAUGACAAGACAAAUUAUUUUAAUUUUAAGAGAAUGGGUGUAUGAUUUUGUGGUUAAAAGGUUAAUUUAUAUUUACUAGACUUGGGACAUCCAAGAGUGUCACACCUUUCAAAUAAAACUAUAAAUUAAGUUGGCCUAUAGUUUAAAUUGUACUUGCUAGUUCAUAAUGAAAAAAUAUCGCACAGAUCCUGACCUUUGAGAAUAUAUC
This 6467-nucleotide long non-coding RNA is filed under the name Sus scrofa (pig). RNAcentral's name for it is "lncRNA (ENSSSCG00025063183.1)". Lineage: Eukaryota; Metazoa; Chordata; Mammalia; Artiodactyla; Suidae. The record is from RNAcentral.